Papaver somniferum (opium poppy) is the source of this 2799-nucleotide long non-coding RNA. RefSeq lists it as uncharacterized. The transcript is spliced from 3 exons. The record is from RefSeq and is a predicted model, not a curated record. Lineage: Eukaryota; Viridiplantae; Streptophyta; Magnoliopsida; Ranunculales; Papaveraceae.
UCAGAGAAUAAUCAUUUUCUCUCCUUCCCACUCUCCUGAAUGUUAGAGAAUCCAUGGCGGUUGUUAGAGUCCGAGAAACAAUGAGAUGAAAUUGAAUUGAGAGAAUGAAGAGAGAAGAAAGUAUUGAUGUUGUUGAUGUGAACCAGAGAAAUUUAGGGUUCAAAUAAAGUGAGAUGGAUUUGGGGUUUGUUCAACUACAUACAAGGGAGAAAGAACUAAAUCUGAGAUGGGUUUGUUAUGAUGGCAUUAAGAAGAGAGAUUGAAGUUGCAGUUAGAGAUGAAUUAUGUGUCGAUUGUGAGGAUUUGCAUCUGAGAAGAUGGGGUUCGAUUUGAUUUUGAUAUUGACAAAGAGUUCAAGGAAUUUAGGAUUCAGAAACUGCAAAUUAGGGUUUGGUGGAACUGAAGAUUUUGGAUUUGUCAGUAUGAAGAUGAUGGAAGAGUAUUGAUGAAUUCUGAAGCUGAUGAUGAUUAAUUGAAGCUGUGAGAAAAUGGGUUUGCUGAUUGGUUGGUGGUGGUUCAGAGCAGAUGGGUAUUUGAAGUGUGUUCAGUAGUGAUUGUGAAGACUAUGAAGAUGGAGUCUGAGAUGGUGGUUAGCCGAGUCUUUGGUAGUGAAUUGAAGAUGGGUUUUUGUUGGAUUGAGAGUUAGUGGUGAUAUGGUGGAUUAUGUGUUGCUGCUGAGCAGAAAUGGUGGUGUUGUAAUGGGUACUGCAGUUGUGUGUAUGUGCAAGUGAUGAUGGAUGAAUUGAUGAGAUCGAAAUCAGUUUUGAACUGAAGCUGUUGUGAAUGGUUAAGCAGAGGAGAGGCUGAGCUUAAAAUGGGUUUCUGUUGAUGUUCAUGGGAAUGAUGAGUUUUAGAUCGAGAAGCCACGGGUUAUGAUUGCAGGUCAGAUGGUAAUCUUGCUGGUGACUAUAAUGGAGUUAUGCUACAAGUUUGUGGUACAAGGUUGAAAUCUGGUGGAGUUUUUGAAUGCAGAUGCAGGUGUUGCUGUUGUUGCCGCUCCAUGUAGUAGUCAAGAUGAACAAUAAGGAGCAGUGACUGAAAUUGAUAUUGCAGUGAAGCCAUGGAAGAUUGAAAUAGCUAGGUUGAAUGUUGUUGUCGAGUACAAGUGAGUUUUUGGAGGAGAAGAGGCUUAGAUGAAUGUGUAGGAUUAAAUUCUUACAGGGAAGAGCAAGUAUCAGUUGUUGUGGUUCUGGUGGUUGAACUAGUGGGUCCGUGAGAAGUAAAAAUUGCAGGCAAGGGUUUAUUUGAUGGAAUUGUUGGUGCUAUGUAGUGGUGGGUAUGAGCUGAGAAGAACUGAGAUGGAAAUAGUUGUGUUGAAGCUUUUACAGGUGGUUAUUGUGCAAGCAAGAAUUUGCAGGCACUAUUAACUGAAGAAAUUGCAAGAGCCGGUUGUAGCUGAACCGAGGUGCUAUGUUAUGAUGCAGCUGCAGUAUGGAUUGGUAUUUGUGAGGUCAAGCCAGUGAUGGAGUGAAUCUAGAAUGAACUGAGAAGAAGAAUGGGUUUAUUUUAAAGCUACAGAUGAGAGUGUUAUGAAUUGGUAAGAACCUCAGGUGUGUGUAGAUGGAAGGUUGGAGUUGAGUACAGUUGAGAUGCAGUUGCAGAAAAGGAGUGCAUUGCACUAUCAUGAUGCAAUAGCAGGUUAUGGCCUGUGCAAGGUUGCAAUGGCUCAGACCUAAGCAAUUCAUCCCACUCAGCCUAGUGAUCUCAGCUAACUCAUGGCUGACUCUCUUAUCCCAGUUGACUCACCUUGACUCAGUGACUUUGAUUGAGUUGACCCGAGUCCUGACCAGGUUGACCGGAAACCAGUUUGACUUUCCCGGUUAUCUGAGGUGAUUUCCCGGUCGAUUCCCGGCUAACUUCCGGCCACUUUCUGGGACUCCCGGUGAUACUUUUUGAGUAGAACUUUUACAUGGGUAUUUCUUUAAUAUGGGCUUGGUGGACAUCUUUGUAUUGGACUUGGGAGAUUGGACCUAAUUUUAGAAGUGGAAGAAGAGACAUAAAAGGGAGGAUUUCUACAACUUAGAUAUCACGUAUUCUUCUUGGAGCUAAGGAGGAGAGCCGCUUUGACUACUAGGAACUUUUCUCCAUCAAGUAUUGACGGCCUUCAAUUCUCUGUUGCUGGGCAAAAGGUUUCUGACUCGAGUGUUGAAGAAGAGGCUAACAUAAGUAUUUCUUCGUAUAACCAAUUAUGAUGCUUUGUGGAUAAAAUGCUAAUUGUUGAUAAUACAUCCAGGAGGAUGUUUCCAUGGAAGUGGAGAAUACUGGUGAUGCUCGUUCAUCUUCGGAAGUUGGUGACGAAGAGGAUUCUCAGAACUCAAGAACGAAUUAAAGUAAUUAUGCUCUUAAUACUGAUACAGGCAAUCACGACUAUUUGAAUUCUUCAGAGACCACCCAAGUGCCAAAUACCGAAGUUGAGAAUAAUGAAACCAAUAAUGAUAACUCGAGCAACCCUGGGGUUAUUGAUGAAGAGACAACCAUCUCUGCACUUCAAGGCCAUGAGAGGGUUGUUACUGAUGCUGUUAAAGAGACGAGACUUCAAUUGUUGUUGCUUCAGUGGCGGAAGAAGAAACUGAAUAAACUGUUGCCAUGACUGUAGAAGUUGCUCCAGUAAUUGAAAAUCGUAUAGUGGUGCAUGAAUAUCCAAGUGCAUGAGUUGCUUUUGAGCCACCAUUUGAUGCAUUACUCCCAUACCAUGAACUAGUUGGGUGAUUCAGCGUUCCUAUUGGAUAUGCCGGCUUGUAUGAGAAGAUAUGGAAGAAAUUUGGUCACAUCAUCGUUACCAGAGAUCCCAAGCGUACU